GCCGCUGUAGCUCAGCCUGGUUAGAGCGCCGGCCUUGUAAGGGUAAAGGACAGGACAGCCGGCGGUCCGGGGUUCAAAUCCCCGCAGCGGCU
The sequence is a transfer RNA, 92 nucleotides long. It matches the Rfam family "tRNA". From Rfam's summary of the family: Transfer RNA (tRNA) molecules are approximately 80 nucleotides in length. The record is from Rfam.